Transfer RNA from Penicillium decumbens, 71 nucleotides. It matches the Rfam family "tRNA". From Rfam's summary of the family: Transfer RNA (tRNA) molecules are approximately 80 nucleotides in length. Their secondary structure includes four short double-helical elements and three loops (D, anti-codon, and T loops). Lineage: Eukaryota; Fungi; Ascomycota; Eurotiomycetes; Eurotiales; Aspergillaceae. The record is from Rfam.
UGCGGGUUAAUGUAACAGUAACAUAUAUGGCUCAUGCCCAUAAAAUUUAGGUGCGAAUCCUAAGUCCGCAA